UUGAUGUAAUUGCAGCCAACACGAAUGACAUGGGGCCUUUGAGCCUUGAUUUCUUCAGAAAAAACAAUUUGUCAGCUUCAUGGAAAGUCAUUGGGGAAAAUACUUCAAUUACAGAUAAGAUAAAUUUUACAGCUAUAGAUUCUAGACAAGAGACACCUAAGGUUAAAGUGGAUGUAUCUUCAGGUGGUAAUAUCUUUUCAACAUUACUUUCUGUUGUCCGUAAAACAUUUCUGCUUUCUUUUUUAUUUUAUUAUGAUUUGCAGGUGGUCAUGCUCAACUUGUUGAUCCUGCAAAACUAGCCCGACGGCAAUUAAGAGAGAAGAGACGCGAAAAGUGUGCAAAUGAGUUAGAGUUAUCUUAUACAGGCUUCCUCCAACAACCAUGUGUAGGUGACGAUAUGAUUUUAUAUGACUUGGGUAGUGGGCCCAUUGGGGCAAUUUUGUAUUUCCAAUGGCUUAGAAACCAAUUUUAGUGAAACACUGUGUUUCAUUAAACAUAAUGAAACCAGACGAUGCCGUUUCAGAAAAAGAAAAAUUAGGGUAUUAUGUCUUCUUCUUCCUUCGUGAGGCAGUGCCUCAACCUCCAUUAAGAACGCUUCUGCAACCUGUCAUCUGCUAAAUCAGUGGCACCAUGAGAACUUGUGAGCACUACGCAGUUUCGGCGAGAGGAGGUGCAAGUGCUCCUCCUUGCGCCUCUGUGGGUCCGCCACUGCUUAUAUCUCAACUUUUGGAGUUAGUCAGCAUCUAAUAGGGAAUAUAGUACUCUUACUCCAGGUUGGCAUUACUCUUACUCCAAGUUAAGUAAUUAUAUUAUGUAGCCCUGUAUUAAUAAUCCUUUCAUUAUUGGUAAUGUUAUCUAGAUUAUAUAUCUCACUAUUACAUUAUUUUGGCUUGUUGAGCAGAUUCCUAGGCCAUGGAAGUGGAUCUAACGAAGCUACUCCUAGUGGUAAAAGUUGAAGAAAUGCAUAGGAAAAUUGGUGAUGAUGAAUGUAUAGCUCUAUAUACAUAUGGAGAACUGGACUUGAAGGAUAAUGAGGUAUAGGAAUUUUGGUGUAUUAUUGUAAUUAGGCUUGCAGCUUGUAGCUCUAGAGUAUUUUCAUUUUUUAGAUUUUAUUUUGUUCUAUUGUACUCUUGAUAUUCUAUUUA
Prunus mume (Japanese apricot) is the source of this 1145-nucleotide non-coding RNA. Lineage: Eukaryota; Viridiplantae; Streptophyta; Magnoliopsida; Rosales; Rosaceae. The record is from RefSeq and is a predicted model, not a curated record.